Molecule: non-coding RNA, 140 nt
Organism: Pelobates cultripes (western spadefoot toad)
Lineage: Eukaryota; Metazoa; Chordata; Amphibia; Anura; Pelobatidae
Source: the annotation of a GenBank genome assembly
GAGCUAAUCAGUGUACUACAAAAUAUAUGUAUAAUAUAUAUAUAUAUAUAUGUAUAUAUAUAUAUAUAUAUGUAUAUAUAUACAUAUAUAUAUAUAUAUAUAUAUAUUAUACAUAUAUUUUGUAGUACACUGAUUAGCAC